AGCGAACGCUGGCGGCAGGCCUAACACAUGCAAGUCGAACGGCCCUUCGGGGUAGUGGCGGACGGGUGAGUAACGCGUGGGAAUGUGCCCUUUGGUACGGAACAACUGAGGGAAACUUCAGCUAAUACCGUAUGUGCCCUUCGGGGGAAGAUUUAUCGCCAUUGGAGCAGCCCGCGUUGGAUUAGGUAGUUGGUGGGGUAAAGGGCCUACCAAGCCUACGAUCCAUAGCUGGUCUGAGAGGAUGAUCAGCCACAUUGGGACUGAGACACGGCCCAAACUCCUACGGGAGGCAGCAGUGGGGAAUCUUGCGCAAUGGGCGAAAGCCUGACGCAGCCAUGCCGCGUGUAUGAUGAAGGUCUUAGGAUUGUAAAAUACUUUCACCGGGGAAGAUAAUGACGGUACCGGAGAAGAAGCCCCGGCGUAACUUCGUGCCAGCAGCCGCGGUAAU
This 448-nucleotide ribosomal RNA is filed under the name uncultured bacterium. RNAcentral describes it as "bacterial SSU rRNA". It matches the Rfam family "Bacterial small subunit ribosomal RNA", at positions 29 to 524 of the family's 1533-position model. The record is from RNAcentral.